UACGUAGGUGGCGAGCGUUGUCCGGAAUUACUGGGUGUAAAGGGCGUGUAGGAGGGGAUGUAAGUCAGAUGUGAAAUUCUUGGGCUCAACUCAAGCGCUGCAUCUGAAACUAUAUCUCUUGAGUGCUGGAGAGGAAAGCGGAAUUCCUAGUGUAGCGGUGAAAUGCGUAGAUAUUAGGAGGAACACCAGUGGCGAAGGCGGCUUUCUGGACAGUAACUGACGCUGAGGCGCGAAAGCGUGGGGAGCAAACAGG
This 253-nucleotide ribosomal RNA is filed under the name uncultured Clostridiales Family III bacterium. RNAcentral describes it as "partial 16S ribosomal RNA". It matches the Rfam family "Bacterial small subunit ribosomal RNA", at positions 524 to 776 of the family's 1533-position model. Lineage: Bacteria; Bacillati; Bacillota; Clostridia; Eubacteriales; Eubacteriales Family III. Incertae Sedis. The record is from RNAcentral.